This 1054-nucleotide small RNA is filed under the name Pongo abelii (Sumatran orangutan). RNAcentral describes it as "processed transcript". The record is from RNAcentral. Lineage: Eukaryota; Metazoa; Chordata; Mammalia; Primates; Hominidae.
UGCGAGGUCGGUUCCGCCCGACUCUAACAUGGCGGCGCCCUUUGUCUGCUCUGGAGUGCCGUCCCCGGCCUUCUCGCGGCCGUGAUGCACCUCCCUCUGCGGUGGGGUCCGGGACAUGGCAGGUAAUGACCCGGACGAGGGGAUCCAAGCUGGAGUUUACACAGGCAAACUGUCAGAAAAGAGUAGCCUGGGCUGUCUGGAAAUCUGAGCCAUGGACUUUCCCCAGCACAGCCAGCACGUCUUGGAACAGCUGAACCAGCAGCGGCAGCUGGGGCUUCUCUGUGACUGCACCUUUGUGGUGGACGGUGUUCACUUUAAGGCUCAUAAAGCAGUGCUGGCGGCCUGCAGCGAGUACUUCAAGAUGCUCUUCGUGGACCAGAAGGACGUGGUGCACCUGGACAUCAGUAACGCGGCAGGCCUGGGGCAGGUGCUGGAGUUUAUGUACACGGCCAAGCUGAGCCUGAGCCCUGAGAACGUGGAUGAUGUGCUGGCCGUGGCCACUUUCCUCCAAAUGCAGGACAUCAUCACGGCCUGCCAUGCCCUCAAGUCACUUGCUGAGCCGGCUACCAGCCCUGGGGGAAAUGCGGAGGCCUUGGCCACAGAAGGAGGGGACAAGAGAGCCAAAGAGGAGAAGGCGGCCACCAGCACACUAAGCAGGCUGGAGCAGGCGGGACGCAGUGCACCCACAGGCCCCAGCAGGGACCUCAAGGAGGAGCGCGGCGGUCAGGCCCAGAGUGCGGCCAGCGGUGAGUCAGAUGCCGAGGACCCAGCCGGCUGCCCUGUCACCUCCCAGCAGCCUGGGCACAGGGUAGUGAGGGCUGCCUUGGGGCAGGUAGCACGGGCACCUGCACCUCUUGAGCCUGUGUUACCCAGAAUGACCUAUUGUGUGUUCCAGGGGGUCUGUUUCAACCAGAGCAGACACAACAGCCUCAGCUAGGGGUGUGCUGGGGCCUCCCCUCCUGGGUCACACGCAGCCACCACCAGCGCGCUGGUCCAGGAGAGGUAUCCGACCCCUGGGCAGAGGGUAGCAAUCCAGCCUCCGGUGCUUCCCCCA